RNAcentral lists this ribosomal RNA (460 nucleotides) under uncultured bacterium. RNAcentral describes it as "partial 16S ribosomal RNA". It matches the Rfam family "Bacterial small subunit ribosomal RNA", at positions 338 to 795 of the family's 1533-position model. The record is from RNAcentral.
CCUACGGGAGGCAGCAGUGAGGAAUAUUGGUCAAUGGACGAGAGUCUGAACCAGCCAAGUCGCGUGAAGGAUGACUGCCCUAUGGAUUGUAAACCUCUUUUAUAAGGGAAUAAAACGAGGCACGUGUCCCUUUUUGCAUGUACUUUAUGAAUAAGGAUCGGCUAACUCCGUGCCAGCAGCCGCGGUAAUACGGAGGAUCCGAGCGUUAUCCGGAUUUAUUGGGUUUAAAGGGAGCGUAGAUGGGUUGUUAAGUCAGUUGUGAAAGUUUGCGGCUCAACCGUAAAAUUGCAAUUGAUACUGGCUGUCUUGAGUACAGGUGAGGUAGGCGGAAUGCGUGGUGUAGCGGUGAAAUGCUUAGAUAUCACGAAGAACCCCGAUUGCGAAGGCAGCUUACUAAGCUGUGACUGACAUUGAUGCACGAAAGUGUGGGUAUCAAACAGGAUUAGAUACCAUUGUAGUC